This 512-nucleotide small RNA is filed under the name Pan troglodytes (chimpanzee). RNAcentral describes it as "retained intron". Lineage: Eukaryota; Metazoa; Chordata; Mammalia; Primates; Hominidae. The record is from RNAcentral.
UUUUUGUAUUUUUAGUAGAGAUGGAGUUUCACCAUGUUGGCCAGGCUGGUCUCGAACUCCUGACCUCAAGUGAUCCGCCUGCCUCAGCCUCCCGAAGUGCUGGGAUUACAGGGGUGAGCCAUCAUGCCUGGCCCUGAUCACUUGACUUUUUAAUUUUUAAAAAUAAAUAAAACCUUAUUUUCUGGAGAAGCCCUGUCCUGUUGGCACUUGUUCUAUUUUCUUCUGUGUUCCCUACAGCAGGGGACCUCCUCGCCCACGACCUGCCCCAGCAGUUGGAGAGGCUGAAGAUAAAGAAAAUCAGCAAGCCACCAGUGGUCCAAACCAGCCGUCUGUUCGCCGUGGAUACCGGCGUCCCUACAAUUACCGGCGUCGCCCGCGUCCUCCUAACGCUCCUUCACAAGAUGGCAAAGAGGCCAAGGCAGGUGAAGCACCAACUGAGAACCCUGCUCCACCCACCCAGCAGAGCAGUGCUGAGUAACACCAGGCUCCCCAGGCACCUUCACCAUCGGCAG